RNAcentral lists this ribosomal RNA (459 nucleotides) under Triticum aestivum (bread wheat). RNAcentral describes it as "partial small subunit ribosomal RNA". The record is from RNAcentral. Lineage: Eukaryota; Viridiplantae; Streptophyta; Magnoliopsida; Poales; Poaceae.
AUGUUUAAGUUUAAUGUAGAUGCUGCAGUAUCACAGAGCCGGAGGCGAGGAGUAGCAGCAGCUAUAUGCCGUGAUCAUGAUGGAAGCUUUCAGGAUGCAUCAGCGAUAGUGGUGAAAGGUGUUUUUGACCCGCCGACUCUUGAAGCUCUUGCUAUUCGUGAAGCAUUGGCACUUGCUGAGGACCUUAACAUACAAAGUGUACAUGUUGCUUGAGACUGCAGGACUGUGAUAGAUGACAUCAAACAAAAGAACCCGACAAGCUAUGUGGCGAUCUUACAUGAAAUAAUAGACCAAAGCUCUUCUUUCAGUAGAUAUAGCUUUGUUCAUGAGUUUAGGAGUUUAAAUUUUGAGGCUCACAAUCUAGCGAAGCAUAGUUUAAAAUUAGGGGUGGGCCGUCAUGUUUGGUUAGGACACCCUGGUGAUAUUACUUUUGUACCUCUGAACAUUGGGUCGGUUUAA